UUUAUGGAGAGUUUGAUCCUGGCUCAGGAUGAACGCUGGCGGCGUGCCUAAUACAUGCAAGUCGAGCGAACGGACGAGAAGCUUGCUUCUCUGAUGUUAGCGGCGGACGGGUGAGUAACACGUGGAUAACCUACCUAUAAGACUGGGAUAACUUCGGGAAACCGGAGCUAAUACCGGAUAAUAUUUUGAACCGCAUGGUUCAAAAGUGAAAGACGGUCUUGCUGUCACUUAUAGAUGGAUCCGCGCUGCAUUAGCUAGUUGGUAAGGUAACGGCUUACCAAGGCAACGAUGCAUAGCCGACCUGAGAGGGUGAUCGGCCACACUGGAACUGAGACACGGUCCAGACUCCUACGGGAGGCAGCAGUAGGGAAUCUUCCGCAAU
RNAcentral lists this ribosomal RNA (382 nucleotides) under Staphylococcus aureus. RNAcentral's name for it is "bacterial SSU rRNA". It matches the Rfam family "Bacterial small subunit ribosomal RNA", at positions 1 to 372 of the family's 1533-position model. Lineage: Bacteria; Bacillati; Bacillota; Bacilli; Caryophanales; Staphylococcaceae. The record is from RNAcentral.